GUCAAAGUGCAAACACCGGAGCUGGACAGUCAAGGAGGGCAGCGGGGUCCGGGAGGUAGCGUGGGGGGUCUCGCGGCCAGCGCCCUCACCUCAGAUGCCAGCAAGGACUGAAACAAGCCGGAAGCUACAAGGAUCCCUAAUGAAGCCCAGCACCACUCCAGGGCACCCUGCAGCAGGUUAAAGCACAGCACUAAGAAGCUAAAGCCACUUCAG
This is a long non-coding RNA of Condylura cristata (star-nosed mole), 213 nucleotides long. RefSeq lists it as uncharacterized. The transcript has 3 exons. The record is from RefSeq and is a predicted model, not a curated record. Lineage: Eukaryota; Metazoa; Chordata; Mammalia; Eulipotyphla; Talpidae.